UCUACCUACAGCUCAGAAUGGCCCAAGAAAGAAAAAAACAAGGGAGCAGACAAGAAGAAAGAAAAGUGCACACCACCUAAUACAAAAGGUAGGACAACUAACUCAUCUCAAAAGCAUAGUAUAAUUAAAUUCUUUAGGUGUCUCAGAAUCAAAUAUAUCGCAUCUCAAUGCCCAAAUAAAAAAUCAUCCUAUUGAAAUAUGAUGGCAAAAUUGAUAGUGCCAGUGAUUACGAGAGAGAAGAU
This 242-nucleotide long non-coding RNA is filed under the name Carica papaya (papaya). RNAcentral's name for it is "long non-coding RNA (CPAP_LNC010130)". Lineage: Eukaryota; Viridiplantae; Streptophyta; Magnoliopsida; Brassicales; Caricaceae. The record is from RNAcentral.